RNAcentral lists this ribosomal RNA (500 nucleotides) under uncultured bacterium. RNAcentral's name for it is "bacterial SSU rRNA". It matches the Rfam family "Bacterial small subunit ribosomal RNA", at positions 28 to 521 of the family's 1533-position model. The record is from RNAcentral.
GAUGAACGCUAGCGACAGGCUUAACACAUGCAAGUCGAGGGGCAGCGAGGGCGUAGCAAUACGCCUGUCGGCGACCGGCGCACUGGUGAGUAACACGUAUGCGACCUGCCCCCUACAGGGGUAUAACCCGUAGAAAUGCGGACUAAUCCCCCAUAGUCCUGGGUGCUGCAUGGCAUUCAGGGGAAAGGUCAGCCGGUAGGGGAUGGGCAUGCGGCGCAUUAGCUAGUUGGCGGGGCAACGGCCCACCAAGGCGACGAUGCGUAGGGGUUCUGAGAGGAAGGUCCCCCACACUGGUACUGAGACACGGACCAGACUCCUACGGGAGGCAGCAGUGAGGAAUAUUGGUCAAUGGGCGCAGGCCUGAACCAGCCAAGUCGCGUGAGGGAAGACGGUCCUACGGAUUGUAAACCUCUUUUGUCGGGGAGUAACGUGCGGGACGCGUCCCGUAUUGAGAGUACCCGAAGAAAAGCAUCGGCUAACUCCGUGCCAGCAGCCGCGGU